RNAcentral lists this ribosomal RNA (950 nucleotides) under uncultured archaeon. RNAcentral describes it as "partial 16S rRNA". It matches the Rfam family "Archaeal small subunit ribosomal RNA", at positions 1 to 941 of the family's 1478-position model. The record is from RNAcentral.
UUCCGGUUGAUCCUGCCGGACCCGACUGCUAUUUGGGUGAGAAUAAGCCAUGCGAGUUGAAUGGGAUACCUAAAGUUCCCAUAGCAAACUGCUCAGUAACACAUGAUCAACUUACCCUAUAGAGAAAAAUAACCUCGGGAAACUGAGGAUAAUGUUUCACAAUUGAAUUGGCUUGGAAAAGUUUUUCAAUGAAAAGGAUAAAAAAAAUGGUUUUUAUCUGCUAUAGGAUAGGAUCGUGUUCGAUUAUGGUUGUUGGUGAGAUAAUGGCUCACCAAGCCGAUAAUCGAUAGGGGCCGUGAGAGCGGGAGCCCCGAGAUGGGUACUGAGACAACGACCCAGGCCUUACGAGGCGCAGCAGGCGCGGAACCUCCGCAAUACACGAAAGUGUGACGGGGUUACCCAAAGUGUUCAAUAGAACUGUGGUAGGUGAGUAAUGUCCCCUACUAGAAAGGAGAGGGCAAGGCUGGUGCCAGCCGCCGCGGUAAAACCAGCUCUUCAAGUGGUCGGGAUAAUUAUUGGGCUUAAAGUGUCCGUAGCCGGUUUAGUAAGUUCCUGGUAAAAUCGGGUAGCUUAACUAUCUGCAUGCUAGGAAUACUGCUAUACUAGAGGGCGGGAGAGGUCUGAGGUACUACAGGGGUAGGGGUGAAAUCUUAUAAUCCUUGUAGGACCACCAGUGGCGAAGGCGUCAGACUGGAACGCGCCUGACGGUGAGGGACGAAAGCCAGGGGAGCGAACCGGAUUAGAUACCCGGGUAGUCCUGGCCGUAAACGAUGCAUACUAUGUGAUGGUACGGCCAUGAGCCGUAUCAGUGCCGUAGGGAAACCGUUAAGUGUGCCGCCUGGGAAGUACGGUCGCAAGGCUAAAACUUAAAGGAAUUGGCGGGGGAGCACCACAAGGGUGAAGCCUGCGGUUCAUUGGAUUCAACGCCGGAAUCACUAGUGCGGCCGCCU